RNAcentral lists this ribosomal RNA (301 nucleotides) under Acinetobacter baumannii OIFC109. RNAcentral's name for it is "bacterial SSU rRNA". It matches the Rfam family "Bacterial small subunit ribosomal RNA", at positions 1182 to 1482 of the family's 1533-position model. The record is from RNAcentral. Lineage: Bacteria; Pseudomonadati; Pseudomonadota; Gammaproteobacteria; Moraxellales; Moraxellaceae.
ACGUCAAGUCAUCAUGGCCCUUACGGCCAGGGCUACACACGUGCUACAAUGGUCGGUACAAAGGGUUGCUACACAGCGAUGUGAUGCUAAUCUCAAAAAGCCGAUCGUAGUCCGGAUUGGAGUCUGCAACUCGACUCCAUGAAGUCGGAAUCGCUAGUAAUCGCGGAUCAGAAUGCCGCGGUGAAUACGUUCCCGGGCCUUGUACACACCGCCCGUCACACCAUGGGAGUUUGUUGCACCAGAAGUAGCUAGCCUAACUGCAAAGAGGGCGGUUACCACGGUGUGGCCGAUGACUGGGGUG